GAUGAACGCUGGCGGCGUGCCUAAUACAUGCAAGUCGAGCGAACAGAUGAGAAGCUUGCUUCUCUGAUGUUAGCGGCGGACGGGUGAGUAACACGUGGGUAACCUACCUAUAAGACUAGGAUAACGCCGGGAAACCGGGGCGAAUACCGGAUAAUAUUUUGAACCGCAUGGUUCAAUAGUGAAAGACGGUUUCGGCUGUCACCUAUACAUGGACCCGCGCCGUAUUAGCUAGUUGGUAAGGUAACGGCUUACCAAGGCGACGAUACGUAGCCGACCUGAGAGGGUGAUCGGCCACACUGGAACUGAGACACGGUCCAGACUCCUACGGGAGGCAGCAGUAGGGAAUCUUCCGCAAUGGGCGAAAGCCUGACGGAGCAACGCCGCGUGAGUGAUGAAGGUCUUCGGAUCGUAAAACUCUGUUGUUAGGGAAGAACAAAUUUGUUAGUAACUGAACAAGUCUUGACGGUACCUAACCAGAAAGCCACGGCUAACUACGUGCCAGCAGCCGCAGUAA
This 514-nucleotide ribosomal RNA is filed under the name uncultured bacterium. RNAcentral describes it as "partial 16S ribosomal RNA". It matches the Rfam family "Bacterial small subunit ribosomal RNA", at positions 28 to 523 of the family's 1533-position model. The record is from RNAcentral.